AUCACUUUUUGGCCUUUGACUAAGAUCAAGAGUAGUAUCUGUUCUUAUUGGUUUAAUAUGAGGGCAAUUACGAUCAUAAAAUGGUAACAGCUUUGUUUUUUUCUUCAAAUUCUUAUACCUCUU
RNAcentral lists this small nuclear RNA (123 nucleotides) under Canis lupus familiaris (dog). Its description in RNAcentral is "U2 spliceosomal RNA (multiple genes)". It matches the Rfam family "U2 spliceosomal RNA". From Rfam's summary of the family: U2 is a small nuclear RNA (snRNA) component of the spliceosome (involved in pre-mRNA splicing). Complementary binding between U2 snRNA (in an area lying towards the 5' end but 3' to hairpin I) and the branchpoint sequence (BPS) of the intron results the bulging out of an unpaired adenosine, on the BPS, which initiates a nucleophilic attack at the intronic 5' splice site, thus starting the first of two transesterification reactions that mediate splicing. Lineage: Eukaryota; Metazoa; Chordata; Mammalia; Carnivora; Canidae. RNAcentral also lists the same sequence under 1 other name. The record is from Rfam by way of RNAcentral.